This 1922-nucleotide ribosomal RNA is filed under the name Aristaeomorpha foliacea. RNAcentral's name for it is "SSU rRNA". It matches the Rfam family "Eukaryotic small subunit ribosomal RNA". Lineage: Eukaryota; Metazoa; Arthropoda; Malacostraca; Decapoda; Aristeidae. The record is from RNAcentral.
GAUCCUGCCAGUAGUCAUAUGCUUGUCUCAAAGAUUAAGCCAUGCAUGUCUAAGUACAGGCCGAUAUACGGCGAAACCGCGGACGGCUCAUUAAAUCAGAUAUAAUUCAUUGGAUCUGUACAACCCACUUACUUGGAUAACUGUGGUAAUUCUAGAGCUAAUACAUGCCUUUAGAGACUCUGACAGUAAUGGAAGAGCGCUUUUAUUAGUUCAAAACCCUUCGGACCUUGGGCCAAGAGACUUGGUGAAUCUAAAUAACUUUUGCUGAGCGCACGUUCUUCGAAUCGGCGCCGCAUCUUGCAAGUGUCUGCCUUAUCAGCUCUCGAUUGUAGGUUAAACGCCUACAAUGGCUAUAACGGGUAACGGGGAAUCAGGGUUCGAUUCCGGAGAGGGAGCCUGAGAAACGGCUACCACAUCUAAGGAAGGCAGCAGGCGCGCAAAUUACCCACUCCCGGCACGGGGAGGUAGUGACGAAAAAUACUGUUGCGAGACUCCAUCGAGGCUUCGCAAUUGGAAUGAGUACACUUUAAAUCCUUGUACGAGGACCAAGUGGAGGGCAAGUCUGGUGCCAGCCGCCGCGGUAAUUCCAGCUCCACUAGCGUAUAUUAAAGUUGUUGCAGUUAAAAAGCUCGUAGUUGGAUCUCUGUUCUGGACUGGCGGUUCACCUUAGCGGUGCUUACUGUACAGCUCCGAGCUAUAUCCCCGCCGGCUCGCUCGGGGUGCUCUUCACCGAGUGUCCCGUGUGGCCGGCACGUUUACUUUGAAAAAAUUAGAGUGCUCAGAGCAGGCUAUACUAACAGCCUGAAUGGUGGUGCAUGGAAUAAUGGAAUAGGACCUCGGUUCUAUUUUGUUGGUUUUCGGAACCCGAGGUAAUGAUUAAGAGAAGCAGACGGGGGCAUUCGUACUGCGACGAUAGAGGUGAAAUUCUUAGACCGUCGCAUGACGAGCUACUGCGAAAGCAUUUGCCAAGGAUGUUUUCAUUAAUCAAGAACGAAAGUUAGAGGUUCGAAGGCGAUCAGAUACCGCCCUAGUUCUAACCAUAAACGAUGCUGACUAGCGAUCCGCCGCAGUUAUUCCCAUGACCCGGCGGGGAGCUUCCGGGAAACCAAAGUAUUUGAGUUCCGGGGGAAGUAUGGUUGCAAAGCUGAAACUUAAAGGAAUUGACGGAAGGGCACCACCAGGAGUGGAGCCUGCGGCUCAAUUUGACUCAACACGGGGAAUCUUACCAGGCCCAGACACUGGAAGGAUUGACAGAUUGAAAGCUCUUUCUCGAUUCGGUGGGUGGUGGUGCAUGGCCGUUCUUAGUUGGUGGAGUGAUUUGUCUGGUUAAUUCCGAUAACGAACGAGACUCUAGCCUAUUAACUAGUCGACGGAUCUUAUAAUACUACUGCUGCUUGCUGCUGCCGCUACUGUGGUAGUGGCUUGCAGUGGUGCUAUGAAUCCGUUGUUUUUAUAUAUAUAAAUGAAAAUGGUGUCCAGUUCGCAGCUUCUUCUUAGAGGGAUAAGCGGCAGCAAAAAAAAUACUAGCCGCACGAGAGAUUGAGCCAUAACAGGUCUGUGAUGCCCUUAGAUGUUCUGGGCCGCACGCGCGCUACAAUGGAGAGUUCAGCAAGCUAUCCCUGCUCCGACAGGAGUGGGUAACCUUAUCAAAGCUGUCCUUAAAGGGGAUUGGGGCUUGCAAAUGUGUCCCAUGAACGAGGAAUUCCCAGUAGGCGCAAUUCACCAGAUUGCACCGAUUUAGUCCCUGCCCUUUGUACACACCGCCCGUCGCUACUACCGAUUGAAUGGUCUAGUGAGGGCAUCGGACUGGCGCCCUUGGAGUUACUGCUUGCUGGCUAUAAGGAGGAUGCUGUCUCUCAACGAGCAGUGUUGUUCUUCAGCAGCAGCCGCCUCGGGUCGACGGAAAGAUGUCCGAGCUGGGU